UUUGAAAUCUGGCCUCUUUCGGGGUCCGAGUUGUAAUUUGCAGAGGCAGUUUCGGGUUCGGCCACGGUUUAAGUUCCUUGGAACAGGACGUCAUGGAGGGUGAGAAUCCCGUGUGAGACCGCCGGCUACGCCCAUGUGAAACGCCUUCGACGAGUCGAGUUGUUUGGGAAUGCAGCUCUAAAUGGGUGGUAAAUUUCAUCUAAAGCUAAAUACCGGCCAGAGACCGAUAGCGCACAAGUAGAGUGAUCGAAAGAUGAAAAGCACUUUGGAAAGAGAGUUAAAAAGCAUGUGAAAUUGUUGAAAGGGAAGCGCAGGCACCCAGACUUGGUCCCGAGCGUUCACCCGGCGUUCCUCGCCGGGGCACUCGCUCGGGUUCAGGCCAGCAUCGGUUCGGGCGGCUGGAGAAAGGCCCGGGGAAUGUAGCUCCUCCUCGGGGGAGUGUUAUAGCCCAGGGCGUCAUACAGCCCGCCUGGACCGAGGAACGCGCUUCGGCACGGAUGCUGGCGUAAUGGUUGUCUGCGGCCCGUCUUGAAACACGGACCAAGGAGUCUAACAUCUAUGCGAGUGUUUGGGUGUCAAGCCCACACGCGGAAUGAAAGUGAACGGAGGUGGGAGCUUUCGGGCGCACCAUCGACCGAUCCUGAUGUCUUCGGAUGGAUUUGAGUAAGAGCAUAGCUGUUGGGACCCGAAAGAUGGUGAACUAUGCCUGGAUAGGGUGAAGCCAGAGGAAACUCUGGUGGAGGCUCGCAGCGGUUCUGACGUGCAAAUCGAUCGUCAAAUCUGGGUAUA
Molecule: ribosomal RNA, 789 nt
Filed under: Chaenothecopsis pallida
Lineage: Eukaryota; Fungi; Ascomycota; Eurotiomycetes; Mycocaliciales; Mycocaliciaceae
Description: LSU rRNA
Rfam family: Eukaryotic large subunit ribosomal RNA
Source: RNAcentral